UACGUAGGGCGCAAGCGUUGUCCGGAAUUAUUGGGCGUAAAGAGCGUGUAGGCGGCCAGAUAGGUCUGCUGUGAAAACUCGAGGCUCAACCUCGAGCUGUCGGCGGAAACCAUUUGGCUAGAGUCCGGAAGAGGAGAGUGGAAUUCCUGGUGUAGCGGUGAAAUGCGCAGAUAUCAGGAGGAACACCGAUGGCGAAGGCAGGUCUCUGGGCCACUACUGACGCUGAGAAGCGAAAGCAUGGGGAGCGAACAGG
RNAcentral lists this ribosomal RNA (253 nucleotides) under uncultured bacterium. RNAcentral's name for it is "partial 16S ribosomal RNA". It matches the Rfam family "Bacterial small subunit ribosomal RNA", at positions 524 to 776 of the family's 1533-position model. The record is from RNAcentral.